RNAcentral lists this non-coding RNA (933 nucleotides) under Gymnopis multiplicata. Its description in RNAcentral is "12S ribosomal RNA". The stretch from base 473 to 927 matches the Rfam family "Eukaryotic small subunit ribosomal RNA". Lineage: Eukaryota; Metazoa; Chordata; Amphibia; Gymnophiona; Dermophiidae. The record is from RNAcentral.
CAAAAGCUUGGUCCUAACUUUAAUGUCAAUUUUAAUCAAUUUUACACAUGCAAGCAUCCACACACCAGUGAAAUAUUAUUCUUAUUCAAUAAGACAAUGAUAUCAGGCACAACACCACUUAGCCUACAACAUCUAGCUAAUGCCACACCCACAAGGGCCAGCAGCAGUGAUUAACCUUAAUAAAUAAACAUAAGUUUAACUUAGAUAUGAUUAAUAGAGUCGGUCCAUCUUGUGCCAGCCACCGCGGUUAUACAAGAAACUCAAAUUGACAUUUUUCGGCGUAAAAGUGAUAAAAAGACAAUCACCAUUAUAAGAUUAAAUAUUUAUUUAGCUGUCAUACGCUACCAUAUAAUAUAAAUUCACCUCAAUCUUAACUUUAAAUUAUACUUGAAUUCACCACCGCUAAAACACAAACUGGGAUUAGAUACCCCACUAUGUUUAGCCACAAAUCAGUUUACAUAACCUUAUACCAGAGUACUACAAGCAACAGCUUAAAACUCAAAGGACUUGGCGGUAUCCCAAACCCCACCAGAGGAGCCUGUUCUAUAAUCGACAACCCACGUUAUACCCCACCACUCUUCGCCUACUCAACCUAUAUACCGCCGUCGUCAAUUCACCUUAUGAAAGACCACCAGAUAAUUAAACUGAACACACCAAAUACGUCAGGUCAAGGUGUAGUUUAUAGAGUGGACAGAAAUGGGCUACAUUUCUUUACAAAAAUAAUACGACAAAUAUUAUGAAAAUUAUAUUAUAAGGCGGAUUUGAUAGUAAGAUUAGCUCAUCAUACUAACCUUAAAACGGCUCUGGGAUGCGCACACACCGCCCGUCACCCUCAUCUAAACAUUAAUUAAUAUUAAUAAUACCAACUAGUCUAUACCACAGAAGAGGGAAGUCGUAACAUGGUAAGCGCACUGGAAAGUGCUCUUAGAUCAC